UCGGUGCGUGUGUCAUCACCAUUCGUGAGUCGACUCGAUUCAACAACCCCAGAAGAAUGGUCCAUCAUUUUCAAGACUCCCUACUUUCAAUUUUGCUUUUUGUGGGUUGACGCCAAGCUCACAAAAUAGUCUUCACACAUUGGAAUUUUAUAUAAUAUAAUACAAUCUUUUGUCGAUUCUUGAAUUUUCGAAGGAGCUUGUAAUUUUGUAUUAGCAAAGACCCAUCUCGUAAUUUUGAAGUUCAGCCGAGCUCCUCGGGUAGCUAAACAAAAGUUAAAAGGAAAGAGCAAGAAGAAAAGAAGCCCCCCGCC
Rhodamnia argentea is the source of this 311-nucleotide long non-coding RNA. RefSeq lists it as uncharacterized. The transcript has 2 exons. Lineage: Eukaryota; Viridiplantae; Streptophyta; Magnoliopsida; Myrtales; Myrtaceae. The record is from RefSeq and is a predicted model, not a curated record.